GUGGGGAAUUUUGGACAAUGGGCGCAAGCCUGAUCCAGCAAUGCCGCGUGCAGGAAGAAGGCCUUCGGGUUGUAAACUGCUUUUGUACGGAACGAAAAGGCUCUGGUUAAUACCUGGGGCUCAUGACGGUACCGUAAGAAUAAGCACCGGCUAACUACGUGCCAACAGCCGCGGUAAUACGUAGGGUGCAAGCGUUAAUCGGAAUUACUGGGCGUAAAGCGUGCGCAGGCGGUUUUGUAAGACAGAGGUGAAAUCCCCGGGCUCAACCUGGGAAUUGCCUUUGUGACUGCAAGGCUGGAGUGCGGCAGAGGGGGAUGGAAUUCCGCGUGUAGCAGUGAAAUGCGUAGAUAUGCGGAGGAACACCGAUGGCGAAGGCAAUCCCCUGGGCCUGCACUGACGCUCAUGCACGAAAGCGUGGGGAGCAAACAGGAUUAGAUACCCGUGUAGUCC
RNAcentral lists this ribosomal RNA (450 nucleotides) under uncultured bacterium. Its description in RNAcentral is "partial 16S ribosomal RNA". It matches the Rfam family "Bacterial small subunit ribosomal RNA", at positions 354 to 796 of the family's 1533-position model. The record is from RNAcentral.